UCUGAAGAAGAAGAACGAUCAGAU
This 24-nucleotide non-coding RNA is filed under the name Arabidopsis thaliana (thale cress). The record is from RNAcentral. Lineage: Eukaryota; Viridiplantae; Streptophyta; Magnoliopsida; Brassicales; Brassicaceae.